GAUCCCGUAGCUCAGCAGGGAGAGCGCCACCUUGACAGGGUGGAGGCCGCUGGUUCGAACCCAGUCGGGAUCA
Molecule: transfer RNA, 73 nt
Filed under: Bacillus pseudomycoides
Lineage: Bacteria; Bacillati; Bacillota; Bacilli; Caryophanales; Bacillaceae
Description: tRNA-Val
Rfam family: tRNA
About the family: Transfer RNA (tRNA) molecules are approximately 80 nucleotides in length.
Source: RNAcentral